UACGGAGGGUGCGAGCGUUAAUCGGAAUUACUGGGCGUAAAGCGCGCGUAGGUGGCUUGAUAAGCCGGUUGUGAAAGCCCCGGGCUCAACCUGGGAAGGGCAUCCGGAACUGUCAGGCUAGAGUGCAGGAGAGGAAGGUAGAAUUCCAGGUGUAGCGGUGAAAUGCGUAGAGAUCGGGAGGAAUACCAGUGGCGAAGGCGGCUUUCUGGACUGACACUGACACUGAGGUGCGAAAGCGUGGGGAGCAAACAGG
Molecule: unclassified non-coding RNA, 253 nt
Filed under: uncultured Halomonadaceae bacterium
Lineage: Bacteria; Pseudomonadati; Pseudomonadota; Gammaproteobacteria; Oceanospirillales; Halomonadaceae
Description: contains 16S-23S intergenic spacer region
Rfam family: Bacterial small subunit ribosomal RNA
Source: RNAcentral